This 563-nucleotide ribosomal RNA is filed under the name Fusarium udum. Its description in RNAcentral is "SSU rRNA". It matches the Rfam family "Bacterial small subunit ribosomal RNA", at positions 382 to 873 of the family's 1533-position model. The record is from RNAcentral. Lineage: Eukaryota; Fungi; Ascomycota; Sordariomycetes; Hypocreales; Nectriaceae.
AGCUAUGGGUCAAGUCCGAUAUCUUUAGGAGAAGUCUUAUUGUAAGGGCGAGUUUUAUAACACCAUAGGACUGGCCGUCCCAUAUGAAAAGAUUAUAUUAGAAUUGAAUGAAGCUUUGUUUAUAUAUUGAUAAUGACAGUAUAUAUAUCGUGUCUUGACUAAUUGCGUGCCAGCAGUCGCGGUAAUACGUAAGAGACUAGUGUUAUUCAUCUUAAUUAGGUUUAAAGGGUACCCAGACGGUCAAUAUAGCUUAUAAAAUGUUAGUACUUGACUAGAGUUUUAUGUAAGAGGGCAGUACUUGAGGAGGAGAGAUGAAAUUUCGUGAUACCAAAGGGACUCUGUAAAGGCGAAGGCAGCCCUCUAUGUAAAAACUGACGUUGAAGGACGAAGGCACAGAGAACAAACAGGAUUAGAUACCCAAGUAGUCUUUGCAGUAAAUGAUGAAUGCCAUAGGUUAGAUGGGUGGGUAGUCUAGUUGAGUUAGUUUAGCAAACUAAUGAUCUAGACGAGCCCACCAUAUAUUUGGUCUAUAAAUGAAAGUGUAAGCAUUUCACCUCAAGAGA